RNAcentral lists this ribosomal RNA (684 nucleotides) under uncultured bacterium. RNAcentral describes it as "bacterial SSU rRNA". It matches the Rfam family "Bacterial small subunit ribosomal RNA", at positions 91 to 811 of the family's 1533-position model. The record is from RNAcentral.
UUCAGGGGCGGACGGGUAGUCAAAGUAAGCACUGCCUCCAGAAGGGGGAAACAACCGGAACGGUCCUAAACCCAUAUGCUUUCGAGUCGAAGGAUCCCUCCGCCAGAGAGAUGCCCGCGGCUGAUUAGCUUGUUGGUAAGGUAACGGCUUACCAAGGCGACGAUCAGUAUCUGGUUUGAGAGGAUGAUCAGACACACUGGAACUGAGACACGGUCCAGACUCCUACGGGAGGCAGCAGUGGGGAAUUUUCCGCAAUGGGCGAAAGCCUGACGGAGCAACCUCGCGUGAGGGAUGACGGCCUAUGGGUUGUAAACCUCUUUUUUCAGGGAGGAAUCAAUGACGUGUACCUGAAGAAUAAGCAUCGGCUAACUCCGUGCCAGCAGCCGCGGUAAGACGGAGGAUGCAAGUGUUAUCCGGAAUCACUGGGCGUAAAGCGUCUGUAGGUGGUUUUAAUAAGUCAACUUGUUAAAUCUCGAAGCUCAACUUUCGAAAUCGCAGUCGAAACUAUUAGACUAGAGUAUAGUAGGGGUAAAGGGAAUUUUCCAGUGGAGCGGUGAAAUGCGUAGAGAUUGGAAAGAACACCGAUGGCGAAGGCACUUUACUGGGCUAUUACUAACACUGAGAGACGAAAGCUAGGGUAGCAAAUGGGAUUAGAUACCCCAGUAGUCCUAGCCGUAAACAAUG